UGGUGGAGUGAUUUGUCUGGUUAAUUCCGUUAACGAACGAGACCUCGACCUGCUAAAUAGUAUGCAUCGAGCUUCGGCUCGUGUAGCACUUCUUAGAGGGACUAUGGGCUUGAAGCCUGUGGAAGUUCGAGGCAAUAACA
Molecule: ribosomal RNA, 140 nt
Filed under: uncultured eukaryote
Lineage: Eukaryota
Description: partial 18S ribosomal RNA
Rfam family: Eukaryotic small subunit ribosomal RNA
Source: RNAcentral